RNAcentral lists this long non-coding RNA (555 nucleotides) under Hordeum vulgare. Its description in RNAcentral is "long non-coding RNA (HVUL_LNC019534)". The record is from RNAcentral. Lineage: Eukaryota; Viridiplantae; Streptophyta; Magnoliopsida; Poales; Poaceae.
UUUUGGUUUCUCCCAAAAUCUUCAUGAUACAGACUGACUACCACUGUCAUGUUUUAGGUUAAAUAUUUUUUUCUUUUCCAAAUCUUUUGUAGAUCCAAGGUUGUUGCAAAGUUUGGUGAAACCAAUUUGUCUAAUAUUCCUUAGAAUUUUGUAAAGGAAACCUUUAGCCAUUGGCGAGGUGCCUUCAAGGUUACCGGCUUCACCUUUAGAUAACCUUAACCCGCCAUAAAAAGAAUUUGCGUUUCUUAUGAAUUCUGGCUUAUCCUCAUAGUGCUUAUUCCCUUCGUGCUAUUCAAUCUUUGCUUAUAACAUGCAUAACUUUUCUAACCUUGCUACUGGUAUCCAGGAAGGUCAUCAUGUUGAAGACGUCCACUUGUAAUUGGGUGUCUUCGCAAGUUUCAGAAAAUCUGCUUCAGGAAUAUGUAGAUAAGGGUUUAUUGUCCCCUAAACAAACACUCAGAUGGUGGGCUCCUCGGGGAGAGACAAGGCUGGCCCCUGGUAAAGGAGAGGUUGUGGUUUUUGUGGAUCAUGUUUUUAGGUGCUUUUCUCCUCCCG